This 272-nucleotide ribosomal RNA is filed under the name Mycoplasma anserisalpingitidis. RNAcentral's name for it is "partial 16S ribosomal RNA". It matches the Rfam family "Bacterial small subunit ribosomal RNA", at positions 762 to 1046 of the family's 1533-position model. The record is from RNAcentral. Lineage: Bacteria; Bacillati; Mycoplasmatota; Mollicutes; Mycoplasmatales; Mycoplasmataceae.
UGGGAGAAAACAGGAUUAGAUACCCUGGUAGUCCACGCUGUAAACGAUGAUGAUUAGCUGAUGGGAAACUCAUCGGCACAGCUAACGCAUUAAAUCAUCCGCCUGAGUAGUAUGCUCGCAAGAGUGAAACUUAAAGGAAUUGACGGGGAUCCGCACAAGCGGUGGAGCAUGUGGUUUAAUUUGAAGAUACGCGUAGAACCUUACCCACUCUUGACAUCUUCCGCAAAGCUAUAGAGAUAUAGUGGAGGUUAACAGAGUGACAGAUGGUGCAA